AUUGAACGCUGGCGGCAGGCUUAACACAUGCAAGUCGAGCGGGGUGAUGGUGCUUGCACUAUCACUUAGCGGCGGACGGGUGAGUAAUGCUUAGGAAUCCGCCUAUUAGUGGGGGACAACAUCUCGAAAGGGAUGCUAAUACCGCAUACGUCCUACGGGAGAAAGCAGGGGAUCACUUGUGACCUUGCGGUAAUAGAUGAGCCUAAGUCGGAUUAGCUAGUUGGUGGGGUAAAGGCCUACCAAGGGGACGAUCUGUAGCGGGUCUGAGAGGAUGAUCCGCCACACUGGGAGUGAGACACGGCCCAGACUCCUACGGGACGCAGCAGUGGGGAAUAUUGGACAAUGGGGGGAACCCUGAUCCAGCCAUGCCGCGUGUGUGAAGAAGGCCUUAUGGUUGUAAAGCACUUUAAGCGAGGAGGGGGCUCUUUUGGUCAAUACCCAAGAUGAGUGGACGUUACUCGCAGAAUAAGCACCGGCUAACUCUGUGCCAGCCGCCGCCGUAA
Molecule: ribosomal RNA, 503 nt
Filed under: uncultured bacterium
Lineage: Bacteria
Description: partial 16S ribosomal RNA
Rfam family: Bacterial small subunit ribosomal RNA
Source: RNAcentral